This 681-nucleotide ribosomal RNA is filed under the name uncultured Enterobacterales bacterium. RNAcentral describes it as "bacterial SSU rRNA". It matches the Rfam family "Bacterial small subunit ribosomal RNA", at positions 55 to 725 of the family's 1533-position model. The record is from RNAcentral. Lineage: Bacteria; Pseudomonadati; Pseudomonadota; Gammaproteobacteria; Enterobacterales.
AUGCAAGUCGAGCGGUAGCACAGGGGAGCUUGCUCCCUGGGUGACGAGCGGCGGACGGGUGAGUAAUGUCUGGGAAACUGCCUGAUGGAGGGGGAUAACUACUGGAAACGGUAGCUAAUACCGCAUAACGUCGCAAGACCAAAGAGGGGGACCUUCGGGCCUCUUGCCAUCAGAUGUGCCCAGAUGGGAUUAGCUAGUAGGUGGGGUAAUGGCUCACCUAGGCGACGAUCCCUAGCUGGUCUGAGAGGAUGACCAGCCACACUGGAACUGAGACACGGUCCAGACUCCUACGGGAGGCAGCAGUGGGGAAUAUUGCACAAUGGGCGCAAGCCUGAUGCAGCCAUGCCGCGUGUGUGAAGAAGGCCUUCGGGUUGUAAAGCACUUUCAGCGAGGAGGAAGGUGGUGAGCUUAAUACGCUCAUCAAUUGACGUUACUCGCAGAAGAAGCACCGGCUAACUCCGUGCCAGCAGCCGCGGUAAUACGGAGGGUGCAAGCGUUAAUCGGAAUUACUGGGCGUAAAGCGCACGCAGGCGGUUUGUUAAGUCAGAUGUGAAAUCCCCGGGCUCAACCUGGGAACUGCAUUUGAAACUGGCAAGCUAGAGUCUCGUAGAGGGGGGUAGAAUUCCAGGUGUAGCGGUGAAAUGCGUAGAGAUCUGGAGGAAUACCGGUGGCGAAGGCGGC